UUUACCCGUGGGAAAUAAGCAUAUCAGUAAGCGGUGGAAAGCAAACUAAACAGGAUUCUCUUAGUAACUGCGAGUGAACAGAGAUUAGCCCAACAUCGAAGCCACCAUGCAUUUGUAUGGGAGGCAAUGUGAUGUUUUGGUGUUUGAACGCACUGUCUGGCUAACUUGAAGUCCAUAUUUGACUGUGGCUUGUAUUUAUACACCCAGAGAUGGUGAUAGGCCCGUUCAGGUUGGUAUUCUGGCAUGACAGUUCAGUGUGUAAUCAUUCAUCAUAGAGUCGGAUUGCUUGAGAGUGCAGUCCAAAAUGGGUGGUAAACUCCAUCUAAGGCUAAAUACCUGUACGAGUCCGAUAGUCAACAAGUACCGUGAGGGAAAGUUGAAAAGUACUCUGAAGAGAGAGUAAAUAGUACGUGAAACCACAUGGAGGUUAAACAAAUAGAGUCAAGCUGCUUGCAUCAUAUCAUUGCAAUAUGCGCAUUUUGUUGCAUGACAUUUGCCGGGACCUGGCGUGUGAUUCUGUCUACUUGUAGGCAUUUGAACAUGUGUUUGUUGUUUGAAAGGUCUCGGUGAGUGUCUGCGCUUAUUGUUCAUGAUGGGUGCUAAUGCCAUAGUCGGUUGUACUACCAGUGCGCAGUAAUCGGCGAUUGUGCGGGCUGACUUAUUGUCGUUCGUGCAAUCAGUGAAACAGUUGGCAACAGUGUGUGCUUGCAUUCGCUUUUGUCAAAGAAGGCCACGGCCUGUUGAUUACUGUGAACAUUGUGAGAGUCGACCGUUCAUAUGUGCUCAUAUAAUUUGUGGUAGUAAGUCGACUUGUCGACUACUUCCAUAAAUGAGCUUAUGAGCUAUGGUAUUGUGGUAGACUUUCUAUUNGACCCGUCUUGACAACCCGGACCAAA
Molecule: ribosomal RNA, 896 nt
Filed under: Neobenedenia girellae
Lineage: Eukaryota; Metazoa; Platyhelminthes; Monogenea; Capsalidea; Capsalidae
Description: partial large subunit ribosomal RNA
Rfam family: Eukaryotic large subunit ribosomal RNA
Source: RNAcentral